UGGGGAAUUUUGGACAAUUGGGCGAAAGCCUGAUCCAGCAAUGCCGCGUGUGUGAAGAAGGCCUUCGGGUUGUAAAGCACUUUUGUCCGGAAAGAAAUCCUUGGCUCUAAUACAGUCGGGGGAUGACGGUACCGGAAGAAUAAGCACCGGCUAACUACGUGCCAGCAGCCGCGGUAAUACGUAGGGUGCAAGCGUUAAUCGGAAUUACUGGGCGUAAAGCGUGCGCAGGCGGUUUGCUAAGACCGAUGUGAAAUCCCCGGGCUCAACCUGGGAACUGCAUUGGUGACUGGGCAGGCUAGAGUAUGGCAGAGGGGGGUAGAAUUCCACGUGUAGCAGUGAAAUGCGUAGAGAUGUGGAGGAAUACCGAUGGCGAAGGCAGCCCCUGGGCCAAUACUGACGCUCAUGCACGAAAGCGUGGGGAGCAAACAGGAUUCAGAUACCCUGGUAGUCCACGCCCUAAACGAUGUCAACUAGUUGUUGGGGAUUCAUUUCCUUAGUAACGUAGCUAACGCGUGAAGUUGACCGCCU
This 528-nucleotide ribosomal RNA is filed under the name uncultured bacterium. RNAcentral describes it as "partial 16S ribosomal RNA". It matches the Rfam family "Bacterial small subunit ribosomal RNA", at positions 355 to 874 of the family's 1533-position model. The record is from RNAcentral.